GGUGUGUGUGUGUGUGGGGGGGGGGGUGGGGGAUCUGAAUGCACAGGGACUUGUUGGGAGGUUUUGAGUGCAAUAGCAAUGGGGCUCUGCAGGGGGGUCCAGGGGAAGGUGGUUGGGGCUCAGCAUGGGGGGGGAUAGAGCUCAGAAG
Molecule: long non-coding RNA, 148 nt
Organism: Dermochelys coriacea (leatherback sea turtle)
Lineage: Eukaryota; Metazoa; Chordata; Testudines; Dermochelyidae
Exons: 3
Source: RefSeq, a predicted model, not a curated record